CAGAUCUGUAGCUACAAUACCCUGUUCGUUUCUUCCUCCCUCAGCUCCACCCCUUUUGCCUGGGCCGCAUAAGCCUCCAUCGUUCCCCGCCCUCCGCCGCCUCCAGUCAGCAGUCUCCCUCCUCCGACCAAGGCGCUCUCGCCGGCAGCUAUCACCAGGCGAAGGGGCUCUCUUCUCCUCAUUCCAUCUACCAACUGGCGCGGCGCGAGGAACUAACCGUCAAGGCGUAUUUCCUAUUGGUGGUAAAUAAGGAAGCCCUAGCUUUCCCAGGUUGCAGUAUUGGGUGACAGCUUCCUGUAUCAUCCGGUUGCUUCCCCGCGUGACAGCUACACUCCAUUCUGCUCCGCUAUCGGUCAGCUCCAUUGAGAAUCUAGAUGUGCUUGUCUUCGCGAAUGUUCGAUGGGAAGACACGCUCCUUCUCCAUUACUAGAAAGGCUUUCCCUGAAAGUAAAUACGUCCUCCCUGUCCCAAUCUCCCGCCUAGCCCACCGUCAUCUCCCCCUUCUCCUAUCCUAUGCAACCGUCUCGGGUCUUUUGCUCAAGGUACCCUUGCUCCACUCUGUCCUUCGCUCACUCUCCACAGGUCCUGUCCCAUCUCUCUCCCUCUCAUUCCUCUCCCUACUCCGCCGGUCUGGCUACAUGCCCAUCGAUAACUACUCCCUUAGCGCUGCUCUUUCUACCGCCGCCCGCAUGCCCUCCGUUGUUGUUGGUGCCCAGCUCCAUACCCUUUCUGUGAAACUCGGCUUAAGUUCUGAUACCUUUGUCCUUAAUACUCUUAUCAAUAUGUACUCGUCUUGUAGUUAUCCAUCUACUGCAAGAUCAGUUCUUGAUUCUGCUCCCAAAGGAGCCUCUGAUACAGUUUCUUGGAAUACAAUCAUUGCUGGAUACGUACAUGCUGGGCUGCCUAAUAAGGCAUUGCAGGCUUUUAGCCAAAUGGCCAAGGCGCAAGUUAUGCUGGAUGAGGUCACCUUGCUGAAUGCUCUAGUUGCUUGUGCAAGGACAUGCAUGAUGAAGGUCGGAAAGCUCUGUCAUGCACUACUUGUGACAAAUGGUUUUGAGAUUAACUGUUAUAUGGGUUCCUCUUUGAUUAGUAUGUAUGCAAAGUGUGGGCUUGUUGAAGAUGCUCGCAGGGUUUUUGAUGGAUUGCCUGAGAGGAAUGCGGUUUGCUGGACCUCAAUGAUUUCUGGAUAUACACAGUUAGGUCAGUCUAAAGAGGCUGUUAAGCUAUUCAGAGAGAUGCAAAUUGCUGGAGUGAAAGUUGAUGAUGCAACAAUUGCUACUGUUGUAUCUUCAUGCGGCCAGAUGGGAGCACUGGACUUGGGACGGUAUGUCCAUGCUUACUGUGACAUUCAUGGUUUAGGGAAGGAUAUUUCUGUGAAAAAUUCAUUGAUUGACAUGUACUCAAAGUGUGGGGAUAUAAAUAAGGCCUAUGAUAUAUUUUGUGGAAUGGUCAAGCGGGAUGAUUUUUCCUGGACAGUGAUGAUAAUGGGCUUUGCUGCAAAUGGCCUCUCUGGUGAGGCAUUAGAUUUGUUUGCGCAGAUGGAAGAAGAGGGUGAAGUCAUGCCGAAUGAGAUAACUUUCUUGGGUGUCCUAACUUCUUGCAGCCAUGGAGGAUUAGUUGAACAAGGAUACCAUCACUUCCAUCGCAUGUCCAGUAUUUACGGUAUUGCCCCAAGGAUCGAACACUAUGGAUGCAUGGUUGAUCUCCUGGGCCGUGCUAAGUUAUUGGCAGAGGCAGAACAGUUCAUUAAAGAGAUGCCUAUCGCUCCUGAUGUUGUAAUGUGGCGGUCGUUGUUGUUUGCCUGCAGAGCCUGUGGAGAGGUGGGACUUGCAGAGUAUGUAGCAGAAAGGAUCCAAGUAUUGGAGCCAAACAGGUGUGGAGGGGACGUUUUACUUUCUACUGUCUAUGCAACCACAUCAAGGUGGGUUGAUGCAAACAAAGUGAGGACAGGAAUAUACAGUAGCAGAAAGACCAAGCAGCCUGGUUGCUCUUUCAUUGAAGUGGAUGGAUGCGUGCAUGAGUUCUUUGCAGGGGACGAGUCACAUUUUGAAACUGAAGCUAUAUACAACACUCUUUUGGGAAUUAAUGAACUGUUAGUAGCAGAGUCCUUCCUGAUGUGAAAGCUAAUACUCCCUCCGUUCGGAAUUACUUGUCUCGGAUAUGGAUGUAUCUAGAACUAAAAUAUGUCUAGAUACAUCCAUUUCUGCGACAAGUAAUUCCGAAUGGAGGGAGUACAUUUCUAUGGGUAUCAUGUGCCCGCUCACCUGUAUCACUGUGUUGGUCAUGGGAAUGUAAAACCAGCAGCCUGAAAGUUCCAAACUCCAGAAUUUAGUUAUUUACUUGAACUGGGCCAUGGAUUGGAAGAAUCAAACUCCACAGGGUAAAGUGCUGAUGAUGAGUCCGUGCUUUUUGCCCCAGAAGCUGACUUUUAUGUUUGAAUAGUUGCACAUUGUCAUUUCACUAAAACUCGGGUUGGCUUUAAAAGGUCAAAUUGCACAAGUGAUUGUUGAAUUUCUAGAGGUAGCUGUCAGCUCCAUUGUCUUCCUCAAAGGUUUCUAUCCCACUCGUGCAUUUGAGAGGAGAAGGUACAUGAAUCUAGUUGUCCAGAAAGCUGUGCACCCCCAGCUUGCUGACUACAUCCACUCUGUGACUACUGGCCUUCUACCUUUCAUACAAAAGGGACUGGUUGAGAGGGUCGUAGUAAUCUUCCACGACAAAGAUCAUGUACCACUCGAGAAGUUUGUGUUCAAGCUUGCAGUCAACCAAUCCUAUGGCUCCGAGUUAG
Molecule: non-coding RNA, 2785 nt
Organism: Triticum urartu
Lineage: Eukaryota; Viridiplantae; Streptophyta; Magnoliopsida; Poales; Poaceae
Source: RefSeq, a predicted model, not a curated record